RNAcentral lists this transfer RNA (88 nucleotides) under bacterium. RNAcentral's name for it is "tRNA-Ser". It matches the Rfam family "tRNA". Rfam says of the family: Transfer RNA (tRNA) molecules are approximately 80 nucleotides in length. The record is from RNAcentral.
GGAGAGAUGGCAGAGUGGUCGAUUGCGCAGCAUUGGAAAUGCUGUGUACCGCAAGGUACCGAGGGUUCGAAUCCCUCUCUCUCCGCCA